UUGGUUGGGAUAUUUUUUAGUCCGUAACUGCUGGAAAUAUUCUGUCCAUAGAACACUUGGUGUAAAAACCAAAGAAUUGCAUGAUCUAGCACAUCUUCAAGCGUUUGGAGUAGCUAGGGUUGGAUCUUUCUAGUUCUUUAUGCAAUUGACAAUUGUUUUGAUGCCUUAGGCCCAAGGACGUUCCUUGGCAAUUUGUUGAUUAGUAAUUGAUUAGAG
This 216-nucleotide long non-coding RNA is filed under the name Manihot esculenta (cassava). RNAcentral's name for it is "long non-coding RNA (MESC_LNC011171)". The record is from RNAcentral. Lineage: Eukaryota; Viridiplantae; Streptophyta; Magnoliopsida; Malpighiales; Euphorbiaceae.